Molecule: ribosomal RNA, 2056 nt
Filed under: Salmonella enterica subsp. enterica serovar Enteritidis
Lineage: Bacteria; Pseudomonadati; Pseudomonadota; Gammaproteobacteria; Enterobacterales; Enterobacteriaceae
Description: partial 23S ribosomal RNA
Rfam family: Bacterial large subunit ribosomal RNA
Source: RNAcentral
ACUGGAGGACCGAACCGACUAAUGUUGAAAAAUUAGCGGAUGACCUGUGGCUGGGGGUGAAAGGCCAAUCAAACCGGGAGAUAGCUGGUUCUCCCCGAAAGCUAUUUAGGUAGCGCCUCGUGAAUUCAUCUCCGGGGGUAGAGCACUGUUUCGGCUAGGGGGCCAUCCCGGCUUACCAACCCGAUGCAAACUGCGAAUACCGGAGAAUGUUAUCACGGGAGACACACGGCGGGUGCUAACGUCCGUCGUGAAGAGGGAAACAACCCAGACCGCCAGCUAAGGUCCCAAAGUCAUGGUUAAGUGGGAAACGAUGUGGGAAGGCCCAGACAGCCAGGAUGUUGGCUUAGAAGCAGCCAUCAUUUAAAGAAAGCGUAAUAGCUCACUGGUCGAGUCGGCCUGCGCGGAAGAUGUAACGGGGCUAAACCAUGCACCGAAGCUGCGGCAGCGACACUGUGUGUUGUUGGGUAGGGGAGCGUUCUGUAAGCCUGUGAAGGUGUGUCGUGAGGCAUGCUGGAGGUAUCAGAAGUGCGAAUGCUGACAUAAGUAACGAUAAAGCGGGUGAAAAGCCCGCUCGCCGGAAGACCAAGGGUUCCUGUCCAACGUUAAUCGGGGCAGGGUGAGUCGACCCCUAAGGCGAGGCCGAAAGGCGUAGUCGAUGGGAAACGGGUUAAUAUUCCCGUACUUGGUGUUACUGCGAAGGGGGGACGGAGAAGGCUAUGUUGGCCGGGCGACGGUUGUCCCGGUUUAAGCGUGUAGGUGUGUGUUCCAGGUAAAUCCGGUUCACUUUAACACUGAGGCGUGACGACGAGGCACUACGGUGCUGAAGCAACAAAUGCCCUGCUUCCAGGAAAAGCCUCUAAGCAUCAGGUAACAUCAAAUCGUACCCCAAACCGACACAGGUGGUCAGGUAGAGAAUACCAAGGCGCUUGAGAGAACUCGGGUGAAGGAACUAGGCAAAAUGGUGCCGUAACUUCGGGAGAAGGCACGCUGACACGUAGGUGAAGUGAUUUACUCAUGGAGCUGAAGUCAGUCGAAGAUACCAGCUGGCUGCAACUGUUUAUUAAAAACACAGCACUGUGCAAACACGAAAGUGGACGUAUACGGUGUGACGCCUGCCCGGUGCCGGAAGGUUAAUUGAUGGGGUCAGCGCAAGCGAAGCUCCUGAUCGAAGCCCCGGUAAACGGCGGCCGUAACUAUAACGGUCCUAAGGUAGCGAAAUUCCUUGUCGGGUAAGUUCCGACCUGCACGAAUGGCGUAAUGAUGGCCAGGCUGUCUCCACCCGAGACUCAGUGAAAUUGAACUCGCUGUGAAGAUGCAGUGUACCCGCGGCAAGACGGAAAGACCCCGUGAACCUUUACUAUAGCUUGACACUGAACAUUGAGCCUUGAUGUGUAGGAUAGGUGGGAGGCUUUGAAGUGUGGACGCCAGUCUGCAUGGAGCCGACCUUGAAAUACCACCCUUUAAUGUUUGAUGUUCUAACGUGGACCCGUUACCCGGGUUGCGGACAGUGUCUGGUGGGUAGUUUGACUGGGGCGGUCUCCUCCUAAAGAGUAACGGAGGAGCACGAAGGUUGGCUAAUCCUGGUCGGACAUCAGGAGGUUAGUGCAAUGGCAUAAGCCAGCUUGACUGCGAGCGUGACGGCGCGAGCAGGUGCGAAAGCAGGUCAUAGUGAUCCGGUGGUUCUGAAUGGAAGGGCCAUCGCUCAACGGAUAAAAGGUACUCCGGGGAUAACAGGCUGAUACCGCCCAAGAGUUCAUAUCGACGGCGGUGUUUGGCACCUCGAUGUCGGCUCAUCACAUCCUGGGGCUGAAGUAGGUCCCAAGGGUAUGGCUGUUCGCCAUUUAAAGUGGUACGCGAGCUGGGUUUAGAACGUCGUGAGACAGUUCGGUCCCUAUCUGCCGUGGGCGCUGGAGAACUGAGGGGGGCUGCUCCUAGUACGAGAGGACCGGAGUGGACGCAUCACUGGUGUUCGGGUUGUCAUGCCAAUGGCACUGCCCGGUAGCUAAAUGCGGAAGAGAUAAGUGCUGAAAGCAUCUAAGCACGAAACUUGCCCCGA